RNAcentral lists this long non-coding RNA (1556 nucleotides) under Fragaria vesca (wild strawberry). RNAcentral's name for it is "long non-coding RNA (FVES_LNC003050)". The record is from RNAcentral. Lineage: Eukaryota; Viridiplantae; Streptophyta; Magnoliopsida; Rosales; Rosaceae.
AAAAACUAGACUCGUAGAGCUUUCCAAUGAUAUAAAGCUCAAAUGAAGUUGGUUGUCCAGAAGGGACAUAUUGCUGUUUUUCGCAGAUUUGGCAUUGGUAAAGCUUUAAAGCUUGCCGGUGGCAUGGAGCCUUAUGCUCAGCAACGGGGACGUGUUGAUGAUGAAUGUCCGGUUUUGAGAAGUCUUCAACGUCUUUUACAUGACAGAAAUUGGUUUAAUAGCGUAGGGGGAUCUAAAAAUCAAAAGAUUUCGGUAAUUCCAAGUCAGCAUGACCAGACAUGUUUGUGGAGGGUCGGUAGUGCUAGGCACACUUGAAACCACUAUCUCCUUAAUUUCAGACAAUUCUAAGACAUUACACUGAGCUUGGAUGAGCUUAGUUGACCAAUUGAUGAUGAGAAAUCCGCUAUAAAAUAGAGGAUUUAACCGGAAACAUGUUGGCGAUCCUCCUUGAGGAUGUAAGGCUGUGUGUCAUCUUCACUUGGAAGAGACCAAAUCGGCACAAUCUAACCAUGUAGAUUGUAAAUAUGUCAUGCUUCUAAAGACGAUGUAAAAAUAUACAUCUUUUUUUUGUAAAUCAAUAUGAACUAUAAGAGGAGAAUAGUUACACUUCGAAAAAAUUCUCAAGGCAUUCAUUAUUGUUAAUGUGAGUACAUCGAGGCCUUGAAUAGACGAAGGACAUCGAUACGACGCCUUAUUACAUAUAGCUUGGAAACAAAAUCAGAGUCUAACCGAUGAUGUCAAAGUCAAAGGCAUCUAGUGCUGGAUCCGAAUCUUUGAAAUCCGUGAUCAUGAGGAUGACGUUAUUGUCCUCAUAUUGAUUUUCCGUACCAUUUUGUAUGCAUUCACAAUCUGAGCGAGAGCUUGACAAUCUUGAACCAGUGAUCCGGAGAUCCACAACGGUUGCAUUGUCAUGAGCGGACGUGAGUAGUUUUGACAAUUUGGUGUCUAGACCGGGAGUGUCAUCAUUAGGGCUAGCGGCACCUCCUCCUCUUUUCUAGACAUCGGCGCGGCUUUUUCUGCCAUUGCCGUUACCCAUAUUGUUUUCCCCACACUAGGAAACUAUCCCAUGUGCGUAGGCCAAUACGUUUAUCUUAUUAGCGUAGUAAUUCCCGUUUGCAAUUGUACGAUCAAAAUCAAGCCUCGUCGGUAAUUCCAAGAGAGUAAACUGAAACAUAAACCAACUUGCAAGACCUAGAGAACUUGAUGAUGAUCGAAUCUGCUCAAGAUUAUGGAUCAUGAUGCCACAAAAUAUCAUCGACAAUAUGUAGUGAAAUAAGGUGGUAAGCAAUCCACUUGACUAAUAACUCAACAAGUAGAGUUAUAUGAACGUUUCAAGAAACACUCAAUGAGUGUAUUCCACAGUACUUUGUGGUCAUUACUUUUUGCACAGAUUGUCAUUGAAGGUUGUUGUUGAUGUGGCGCCUCAAAACUUUGAGUGUGAGAGAUGUGUAAUCUCGACAUCUAGGCUUGACAGCCUUGGUUACGGAGUAUAUAGUUAUAAUCUAACUACAUAUCAUGUUGGCAUAAGACCAAGACACAUAUAUGAAAUAUCUUAG